AGCUUUGUGCAGUGGCAGUAUCAUAGCCAAUGUUGUUUAUCCGAGACGUGAUUAUUGCUAAUUGAAAACACACACACACAUAUAUGUAAUUGCGUGUUAAUAUGCAUAGUUUUAUUCAUGUGUGUAUGUAUACAUA
Myotis lucifugus (little brown bat) is the source of this 136-nucleotide small nuclear RNA. Its record names the gene U4. It matches the Rfam family "U4 spliceosomal RNA". From Rfam's summary of the family: U4 small nuclear RNA (U4 snRNA) is a component of the major U2-dependent spliceosome. The structure of U4 snRNA from yeast and human has been reported. Lineage: Eukaryota; Metazoa; Chordata; Mammalia; Chiroptera; Vespertilionidae. The record is from Ensembl.